RNAcentral lists this long non-coding RNA (271 nucleotides) under Ricinus communis (castor bean). Its description in RNAcentral is "long non-coding RNA (RCOM_LNC003775)". Lineage: Eukaryota; Viridiplantae; Streptophyta; Magnoliopsida; Malpighiales; Euphorbiaceae. The record is from RNAcentral.
GGGUGAUGAGGAGGUGGUGGAGAAGCAUAAAUAUAAGGCUUAUCAGCCACCACAGCAGUGGCUACAAGGCAAAAAACUAUAGCAUGUAUGAUCGGAGACCAAUGUCCCUGCUUCUAGGUACCCAUUUUUAAAAGUAGAAAAUGUUUGUUUUUGUGUUGUGCAUGGCAGACAUGAACACAAGCCCUUUAUAUAGGGCUUCUCUUCCAUCAUUGCUAACAAACAUGUACUUCUUUAAUGAUGAUUACAGGCUGGAAUAGACCAUUAAAAUUAC